Molecule: ribosomal RNA, 207 nt
Filed under: uncultured bacterium
Lineage: Bacteria
Description: partial 16S ribosomal RNA
Rfam family: Bacterial small subunit ribosomal RNA
Source: RNAcentral
UGCGUAGGCGGCUUCUUAAGUUUGGUGUGAGAGCCCAGGGCUCAGCUCUGGAAGUGCACUAGAAACUGGGAAGCUUGAGUACCGGAGGGGAGAGUGGAAUUCCUGGUGUAGCGGUGAAAUGCGUAGAUAUCAGGAGGAAUACCGGUGGCGAAAGCGACUCUCUGGACGGUUACUGACGCUGAGGCACGAAAGCGUGGGGAGCAAACA